This 70-nucleotide ribosomal RNA is filed under the name Staurogyne lepidagathoides. Its description in RNAcentral is "partial 26S ribosomal RNA". It matches the Rfam family "Eukaryotic large subunit ribosomal RNA", at positions 21 to 90 of the family's 3401-position model. Lineage: Eukaryota; Viridiplantae; Streptophyta; Magnoliopsida; Lamiales; Acanthaceae. The record is from RNAcentral.
UUACCCGCUGAGUUUAAGCAUAUCAAUAAGCGGAGGAAAAGAAACUAACAAGGAUUCCCUUACUAACGGC